This is a long non-coding RNA of Notothenia coriiceps (black rockcod), 694 nucleotides long. RefSeq lists it as uncharacterized. Lineage: Eukaryota; Metazoa; Chordata; Actinopteri; Perciformes; Nototheniidae. The record is from RefSeq and is a predicted model, not a curated record. The transcript has 4 exons.
CUCAUGCUGGGACCUACUACUGUGCUGUUGCCUCCUGUGGACACAUACUGUUUGGAAACGGGACCAAGCUGGACUUUGAGGGUGGCGUGGACUCUGGUUUCUUGGUGCAUUUCUCCAGUAUAGCUUUGACAUUCACCACCAUCCUGAGUGUUUUACUGGCUUUCUUAGUGUGCAUGAUGAACAAGAAAAACAGCUGCCAAUCCACAGUUCCGUCCACAGCAGAAGCCGAGGAGUACCAACGUGGAGAAAAGAUCUACUAUGCUGCUUUAGGUGUGAACAUGAAAAACAGAUCAAGAAGACAGAGGGAUCCAACCUGGAGUGAAUGUGUGUAUUACAGCGUAAAGCAGUAGAACCUGACAUGGUGCAAUUUGUAAUUUUGAGUAAAACAUGUGUUUUUGUUUUCUCUUCCUUGUGGUCCGUAGCAAAUUUUUUUUUUUUUUCCGUAGAUGUACAUUUUAGCAUAGUAUUUUUCCACUUUGUGGUCGAAGCAGGAGAUGACCGAAACGUUCUUUCAAAUAAACCAUCUACUGCAUCUAAAGAUAUAUGAUUUUUUUAGUACUUGUAUGACUUAACCUGUAGCCUAUAUUUAGAAGCUAAGAUGCUGUAAAAGUCACUUCAAUACUUUUAAGUUUAGGACCUUCUUAUUUUUUUUUACCAAAUCAAAUGUGUAAUUUUGUUUGUGCAAUUUCUGUCA